RNAcentral lists this ribosomal RNA (451 nucleotides) under uncultured bacterium. RNAcentral's name for it is "partial 16S ribosomal RNA". It matches the Rfam family "Bacterial small subunit ribosomal RNA", at positions 29 to 523 of the family's 1533-position model. The record is from RNAcentral.
AACGAACGCUGGCGGCAGGCCUAACACAUGCAAGUCGAACGGAUGUAGCAAUACAUUAGUGGCGCACGGGAGAGUAACGCGUGGGAACCUACCUUUUGGUUCGGGAUAACGUCGGGAAACUGACGCUAAUACCGGAUACGCCCUUCGGGGGAAAGAUUUAUCGCCAUUAGAUGGGCCCGCGUUAGAUUAGCUUGUUGGUGAGGUAAUGGCUCACCAAGGCUACGAUCUAUAGCUGGUCUAAGAGGAUGAUCAGCCUCACUGGGACUGAGACACGCCCAAGAGUCCUACGGGGGGCAGGAGUGGGGAAUAUUGGACAAUGGGGGAACCCCUGAUCCAGCCAUGCGGCGUAAAUGAGGAAGGCCUUCGGGUUAUAAAGUUUUUUUGGCGGGGACGAUGAUGCCGGUACCCGCAGAAUACGCUCCGGCUAACUUCGUGCCAGCCCCCGCGGUAA